RNAcentral lists this ribosomal RNA (511 nucleotides) under uncultured soil bacterium. RNAcentral's name for it is "bacterial SSU rRNA". It matches the Rfam family "Bacterial small subunit ribosomal RNA", at positions 8 to 497 of the family's 1533-position model. The record is from RNAcentral.
AGAGUUUGAUCCUGGCUCAGAACGAACGCUGGCGGCGUGCCUAACACAUGCAAGUCGAACGAGAAAGGGGCUUCGGCUCCGAGUAAAGUGGCGCACGGGUGAGUAACACGUGGGUAACCCGCCUCUAAGAUUGGGAUAACUCGUCGAGAGAUGAGCUAAUACCGAAUAAGACCACAGUUCCCGCGGGAACAGGGGUCAAAGGUAGCCUCUGCUUGCAAGCUAUCACUUAGAGAUGGGCCUGCGCACCAUUAGCUAGUUGGUAGGGUAACGGCCUACCAAGGCAAAGAUGGUUAGCUGGUCUGAGAGGAUGAUCAGCCACACUGGAACUGAGACACGGUCCAGACUCCUACGGGAGGCAGCAGUGGGGAAUAUUGCGCAAUGGCCGAAAGCCUGACGCAGCAACGCCGCGUGAGUGAUGAAGGCCUUCGGGUCGUAAAGCUCUGUCGGGAGGAACGAAUGCUCCUGAGGUUAACAGCCUCGGGAGGUGACGUACCUCCAAAGAAGGCCCCGU